AUCCUUUGCAGACGACUUGAAUGGAACGGGGUGCUGUAAGCAGUAGAGUAGCCUUGUUGCUACGAUCUGCUGAGGCUUAGCCUUUGUUCUACAGAUUUGUGCUUUUGCACUCUCUCAGCAUAUUUUGGAUCGGAGGGUUUAAAGACUCUGACUAUGGUAUGCUGAGACAGUGAAAACGUACAAGUUCGGGGAUGGAUGGGUUUUUGAUGUAGGGAGAUGCCACCGACAGAUUCUACACAUUCCGCCUCAUGGUUUGUGUGAGUUCUGGCCAGGGCUGGGAUCCAUGGUACAGAACCAAACUUCAUAUUCGGCUGAGUCUAGAGGAUGCUCAAGUUCAUACAUAGAGCUUGGGCAUGCUUUGGGCUCAGCCGUUUUGCGUUAAGGUGGGUGUGGCAGUUCCAGUAUAUGAGUGCACUUUGAACAUACUAGUAUCUACGGCCAUAGGACUAAGAAAAUACCGCAUCCCGUCCGAUCUGCGAAGUCAAGCU
This 488-nucleotide unclassified non-coding RNA is filed under the name Trichosporon sp. DMic 114132. Lineage: Eukaryota; Fungi; Basidiomycota; Tremellomycetes; Trichosporonales; Trichosporonaceae. The record is from RNAcentral.